RNAcentral lists this ribosomal RNA (431 nucleotides) under uncultured bacterium. RNAcentral describes it as "partial 16S ribosomal RNA". It matches the Rfam family "Bacterial small subunit ribosomal RNA", at positions 29 to 507 of the family's 1533-position model. The record is from RNAcentral.
AACGAACGCUGGCGGCAGGCCUAACACAUGCAAGUCGAGCGCCCCGCAAGGGGAGCGGCGGACGGGUGAGUAGCGCGUGGGAAUAUUCCCUUUGCUACGGAAUAGUCUCGGGAAACUGGGGGUAAUACCGUAUACGCCCUUUGGGGGAAAGAUUUAUCGGGGAAGGAUUAGCCCGCGUUGGAUUAGGUAGUUGGUGGGGUAAUCGCCUACCAUGCCGACGAUCCAUAGCUGGUUUGAGAGGAUGAUCAGCCACACUGGGACUGAGACACGGCCCAGACUCCUACGGGAGGCAGCAGUGGGGAAUAUUAGACAAUGGGGGCAAACCUGAUCUAGCCAUGCCGCGUGAGUGAUGAAGGCCUUAGGGUUGUAAAGCUCUUUCAGCUGGGAAGAUAAUGACGGUACCAGCAGAAGAAGCCCCGGCUAACUCCGUG